UACGUAGGGGGCAAGCGUUGUCCGGAUUUACUGGGCGUAAAGGGCGCGUAGGCGGUCAGCACAAGUCAGUUGUGAAAUCUCCGGGCUUAACCCGGAAAGGUCAACUGAUACUGUGCGACUAGAGUGCGGAAGGGGCAACUGGAAUUCUCGGUGUAGCGGUGAAAUGCGUAGAUAUCGAGAGGAACACCUGCGGCGAAGGCGGGUUGCUGGGCCGACACUGACGCUGAUGCGCGAAAGCCAGGGGAGCGAACGGG
Molecule: ribosomal RNA, 254 nt
Filed under: uncultured bacterium
Lineage: Bacteria
Description: partial 16S ribosomal RNA
Rfam family: Bacterial small subunit ribosomal RNA
Source: RNAcentral